This 492-nucleotide ribosomal RNA is filed under the name uncultured bacterium. Its description in RNAcentral is "partial 16S ribosomal RNA". It matches the Rfam family "Bacterial small subunit ribosomal RNA", at positions 29 to 507 of the family's 1533-position model. The record is from RNAcentral.
AGUGAACGCUGGCGGUAGGCCUAACACAUGCAAGUCGAACGGCAGCACAGUAAGAGCUUGCUCUUACGGGUGGCGAGUGGCGGACGGGUGAGGAAUACAUCGGAAUCUACUUUUUCGUGGGGGAUAACGUAGGGAAACUUACGCUAAUACCGCAUACGACCUACGGGUGAAAUCAUUGGAUCUUCGGACCUUUCGCGAUUGUAUUAGCCGAUGUCGGAUUAGCUAGUUGGCGGGGUAAAGGCCCACCAAGGCGACGAUCCGUAGCUGGUCUGAGAGGAUGAGCAGACACACUGGAACUGAGACACGGUCCAGAAUCCUACGGGAGGCAGCAGUGGGGAAUAUUGGACAAUGGGCGAAAGCAUGAUCCAGCAAUACCGCGUGGGUGAAGAAGGCCUUCGGGUUGUAAAGCCCUUUUGUUGGGAAAGAAAAGCAGCAGGUUAAUACCCCGCUGUUCUGACGGUAACAAAAGAAUAAGCACCGGCUAACUUCGUG